Molecule: ribosomal RNA, 253 nt
Filed under: uncultured bacterium
Lineage: Bacteria
Description: partial 16S ribosomal RNA
Rfam family: Bacterial small subunit ribosomal RNA
Source: RNAcentral
UACGUAGGGCGCAAGCGUUGUUCGGAAUUACUGGGCGUAAAGGGCUCGUAGGCGGCCAACUAAGUCAGACGUGAAAUCCCUCGGCUUAACCGGGGAACUGCGUCUGAUACUGGAUGGCUUGAGUGUGGGAGAGGGAUGCGGAAUUCCAGGUGUAGCGGUGAAAUGCGUAGAUAUCUGGAGGAACACCGGUGGCGAAGGCGGCAUCCUGGACCAUUCCUGACGCUGAGGAGCGAAAGCCAGGGGAGCAAACGGG